UACGUAGGAUGCAAGCGUUGUUCGGAAUUACUGGGCGUAAAGCGCGUGUAGGUGGCGAUGUAAGUCGGGUGUGAAAUCCCUCAGCUUAACUGAGGAAGUGCACUCGAUACUGUGUCGCUUGAGUGUUGGAGGGGAUGGCGGAAUUCCCGGUGUAGAGGUGAAAUUCGUAGAUAUUCGGAGGAACACCAGUGGCGAAGGCGGCUCACUGGCUCGGUACUGACGCUGAGGUGCGAAAGCGUGGGGAGCAAACAGG
RNAcentral lists this ribosomal RNA (253 nucleotides) under uncultured bacterium. RNAcentral describes it as "partial 16S ribosomal RNA". It matches the Rfam family "Bacterial small subunit ribosomal RNA", at positions 524 to 776 of the family's 1533-position model. The record is from RNAcentral.